GGAUUUCUUGAAUAUGUACUUCAGCGAUGUAUAUAAGCCUAUUCCUCUGGUCUACAAUCUUGUCCUUGCCAUGCUGUGGCGGCAUCCUGAGAAUGUAGAGCUUGAUAAAGUGAAAGUUGUUCACUACUGUGCAGCGGUGAGUACCAAAGAAGAUUGAUUUUGGGAGAUUAAUUCGCAAGUUAUAACCUGUGGUGGUUAUGUAUACUAAUACAAAUAUUUGUGAACGGUAUACCAGGGGUCGAAGCCAUGGAGGUACACAGGGAAGGAGGACAACAUGCAGAGAGAGGACAUUAAGAUGCUGGUAAACAAAUGGUGGGAGAUAUACAAUGACAAGUCAUUGGAUUACAAGAAGACGAGGAUGAUGGCGAAUGAUUACAGCAGUGUUUUGCCGGGGGAGCAGGUGAAUUUGGAGCCGUUCAUUGCAGCUCUUUCCGAGGUGGGGCAUGUUGAAUUUGUGAGAGCCCCUUCAGCAGCCUAGAAGAGGCCAGUACUCUCGUGGAGAAGAGGAUCCAAGGGGCAUGCAAGCAGAUGACCGGUGAAUUUCCAUUUUCGAGAUGAAAAUGUUGGUUAUUUUUGUGGUUUGGGGGUUUGUCACGGUUAGUGAAUUUUUACGUUGUUCACUUGUAAUAUCCUUAAUGAUUGCCCACUACAAGGCAAAUUACUUCCAGUCAUACAUAAAAUCUCAAAGACACUCUGUUUUAUCUGCUGUUGAACUCUGUUUUUUUUUUUUUUUUUGCUCUUUUUCUCCCUCCUUUUUCUUUUUAUUUAUUUAUUUUCUUUGGGAAAUGGAAUUGAAAUACGUGGGACAAGAAUCGUAUAGGCUUAUUUGAGACAACAAAACAUCCACCCAGUCCCAGUCGCGGACCUGUUAUGGUGAAGGCAAGUUGAUUAAGGACGGUACAGCAGGGCACUUAAUUAUGGCUAGGUUAUAUCCCAACUUGUGGGUAGAAAAAAAAGGGUAAUAUUAAAAUGAGAACCAAUUUAAAAAGCAUUUUUGAAUUUAAUUUAAUUUUAAUUUAUUUGUUAUUUAUAAUUUUGAAGUUAAUUUUAACUUAUUUAUUAAGAGGAAAAAUUAUACUUAUAAGAAGGAUUAAAUGUACAUAAAAAAAAAUAUUCGUAUGUGAAAAGAAAAGAAAUAUUGAAAAAUAGUAAGAAAACUUUAUUUUAGGCAUAACUAAUGAUUGGUUGAAAGUUUUCAUUAUCAUUCUCAUUUGACAUUUCUUUUUACCAUAUAAGUGAUUUGAUUUGAAUGGAAAGUUGGAUACUAGAUCUUUAAGGAUAAGGAAGGAGAUUAAUUUAAUCAGAUUUCUUUUUAUCUCUUUUACUUUUUUAAAUUAAAAGAAAAUAAAAAAAAUAGAGAGAAAAAAAUAAAAGAAAUAAAAAAUAGAUUUAAAAUUAAUAAAUUAUUUUUAUAUAUAUUUUAAAACUCAUUUCACUUAUUUCCUAUAUAAUUUUAAAAUAUAUAAAUUAUUAAUUAAUUUUAAUUAUAUUUAUUUUUUUUAUAAUGAAACUAAAAAUUAAAAAAAAUAUUAUAUAUAAGGGUGGAGGUUAAUUUAAUUACAUCUUUUCUUAAUUUAUUUUAAAUUUUUAUCUGCUUAGUUUUAAUAUUGAGGGAAAAUACUAAAAAAAGAAAAGAAAAAAUAAAAAAAUAAAAAAGAAAAUUAGAAAAUAAUUUUAAAAUUAAUAAAUUAUUUUUAUGUGUUUUUUCAAAGUUAUUUCACAUGUUUCUCUAUGUAAUAUAAGGAUUAAAUAAAUUUUAAAUAUUUUAAAUUUAAUUAUAAUUGAUUUUUUUAUAUAACAAAAUUAAAUAUAAAAAAUCAUUUUUCUUAAUAUUUUAUUUUAUUUUUAUUGUUUUUUGUUUAGUAUGCAGAAGCUCUCAUUCCACUUGUGUCGGCAAAAACAUCAUUGUAAAUAUAUUAAAAGAAAAACAUAAAAAAUAAAGCAAAUCACGUAAAAGGUACACAAAGUUUUAAUAUGAUUUGAUCAAUUAUGACUAUUUUCACCAAUGAGAAAGAACAUUUUAUCAUAUGAUAGAAAAUAUUAUAAAGAACAAAAAUCUAAAAAAAUACAAUUACGAGAUCUCUAUCUUAAAAUAUGAGCCGUUUUACUUCAUUAAAUGUUUUUUUUUUUCAUCACAUUUACUUCCCAGUAAACCCCCUUUCUCUACUAGAUGUAUGUCGUUCUUUCUCAUAUUUUUAUUCCAUCUCUCUCAUAACUUUUUUUUAAAAUAAAAUAUUUAUAAAGAUAUUUCUAUUAACUUCGUAAGAAUCUAAUUAUUAUCACAUAUAAAUUAAAAAAUAUUAUAUAUAAUAUUUCUUUUACAAAUAUAUUCCCCAUCACUUUCCCGCCAAACAUAGGAUAAAUGAUGCUCUUUAUGUCCUAAUCUUUCCAAACUUUCAAGUAUUCUUUUACUUAGAAAUUACAAAUUUGAUACAAAUUGGGCCACCAUUUGAGAGUCCAAUCCCUCCAGCCAGAUUUAUAGGUGAGUUUAACUUGAAUUGAAGAAGUAGGAAUGUAAAAAUACUGGGAUUGACAUGAAUUCAAGAUCAGAAAACCCCCGAAAGCCAAAUCCAGCACAUUAUUGAUUUAUUUUUAUUUUAUUAUAAUAUAAAAAACAUAAAUUAUAAAAAAACAUAAAUUAUAAAAAAACACUAACUUUCUUAAUUUUUAAUUACAUUUUAAUUAUUAAAAUAUCUUUAAUAGUUAUAGUUAAAGUUUGAGCUUAUGAAUAAUUAUUUAUGUUAAAAUAAUAAUUAAUAAUUUACAGUUUUGACACCUUUUUGUUUUUUGACUUGAAGAAAAAAAAUAGUAGUAACUUAUAUAAAAAAUGAAAAAUUUUAUUAAAAAAAAUUAAACUUAUUUCAUGUCUUUAAAAAAUUACUUUUAGAAAUGUAAGUUAAAUAGAUUUUAAAAACUAUAAUUUUUCUUUAAUAUAAGUUGUUAUUUUUUAUAGGUUGAAUAUAACAUGAAAUAGGACAAGAUAAUAUAUCAUAUCUCAUUUUUUAUUGGUAAUAUUAGGGGUGCAACUUGUACGGGUUGGUUUGACCCAAUUGGAACCCAAUCCAAUGUUUGGGUGAACUUAGGCAAAUAUUUCCAUUACUUGAGUUAAACUUGAAUUAAGUUUUUUCAACUCGAAUUCAAUUUGAAUUGGAUCCAAGCUAAGGUUUAAAAAACUCGAGGAUAACUCGAACUUGAUUUAAUAUUUUUAUGAUAUUUAUAAUGUUAAUGUUUAUUAUUUUAAAUGAUAAUAUUCAUUUUCUUUUUAAUUUUGGAAGAAAAAAAUAUCAAAUUAUAAUUAUAUCACACAGUUAUUACUUUUUAAAAAAGAUAUAUAAGUUUAUUUUUACUUUUUUUUAUUAUCUUGAAAUUUUGUGCUAUUUAUUAUUUAAAUUUUGAUAUAAAUAUAUAGAAAAUAAGUUUUUUUAAAAACUAUUAUAGAUGAAUUUUAAAUCUUUCAGCACAAUGAAUCCAAAUAAUUUGAGUCUAACUCAAUCAACUCGAGUUUAACCCAAUCAACUCGAUCAACUUGAGAUCAACUUGAAUUUAGAAAAUAAGGUUAGGCUAGGCUUGGGUUAAGUACUUUGGGUUAGAGGACGAGUUAUGUUAACCUUAACUUGAUUCUUUCUUAAUUUGUGUUGGAUUUGAGUUAGCUAUUAACUCAACCAACUCGCCCAAGUUGCCAUCCAAGUUGCAGCCCCAAGUAAUAUUUUAGGAUAAGUUAUCUUAUCAUAUUUCAUAUAUUAUAUCUUAUAUUUAACAAAAUAGGAUAUUUAACAAAAUAUGCGUUUGGUAUAAAAUAGGUAGUAAGAUACUUUGGUAUAAAAUAGGUAGUAAGAUACUAAGAUAAAAUGUCUUUUUUCUCUUUUUAUUUUUUUUCUUUUAUACAUAUUAAUUUUAAAUAAUACUCUUUAUUUAUUUAUUAUAAUAUCUAAUGGACACUACAAAACGUUGUAUAGAUCACCUAGUAAAAUGAAAAUAUUAAAUCAAAUUAAAAGUGUGUUCAACUAUUAUUUUAGAAAGUAUUUCUAAUUUUUCUAAGAUUUCAGUAUUAAAUAUAUUAGAAGCAUUUCUUAAAAUCAUUGUGAAAUAAACUCUAAUUUAUAUAUUUAAAAAUCACUUUUAUAAAUUUUAAAAUUUAAGUUACUAAAAUUCUUUUGAUGUCUUAAUUUUUUAAAUAAUUUUUAAAACUUUUAUUUAUUUUUAAAUAAAAGGAAAUCUAUUAGUUUUUGGAUCUUCCCAUAUUGUUUACCAUUAACAGCCAUGAGGCGUUACCUCUUUUUUUUUUUUUUUUUAAUCGUGAAGUUCGAUUGACGUGUAAUUCUGCUUAAAAUAAAUUAAGUGUAUGUUUAACAAAAAAUUUUAAAAGUAUUUUUAAUUUAAAAGGUAUUUAAAAAAAAACAUAAGAUGAAAUUACUUAUAAUGUUAUUUGGUGAAACAUUUUAUAGAUAUAUUCUUUUAAAAAAUAUUAAGAAAAUACUUUCAUUUUAAAACAUGGAGAACAUUCUUAAAUGUGCUUUAUUUAAUUUCUAUUUUUUAAAAAAUUAAAAUUUAUUUUUUAAAUAAAAAUAGGAGAAUCCGACAUUUUUAUUAGCUAUAGAAUACUCUUUUUGUAAUAGAAAUGAUAAUAAGAUGAGUUUUUCUUUUGUUUUUCUUUUAUUUUUUAUUUUAUCUAUCCUGCCCUAAUGGAACAUGUUUAAAAUUUAAAUAAAUAAGUUGGAAAUAAGUUUGAGAUUUUUUAAAAAAUAUAUAACAGAUUUGGGUGUUAAGUCCUUAUACUCAUAUUAUGUACAAAAUUAAUUUACUUUAAUUUUAAAUUUUUUAUUUUUAAUAUGUAACAAUAAUAAAAAAUAUUUUUUAAUAUAAUAAAUUAUAAAAAAUUAUAGUAUUUUAAUUAUUUAUAAAAUAUAUUUAUUUUAAUAUAAUAAAAAAAAAGUUAGAUUGAAUGGGCGAGGCAAGAUAAGUAUAAGAAAUUUGCGUACCAUUAAGACUCUCUUCCACAUGCCACGUCUCCAGAACCUUCCCGGUGACACUGCACAACCGUUGGAUCAUACCUGAGGCACGUGUCAGCAGGCAACCCAAGAUCACAUGACCUAUGAAGUUACCAAAUUAUGCUCACCCUCUUCAAUUUUAAAUAUCAUUUAUCGCUUAUUUAAGCCACAAACGCGCCAUCGGCAUCCUCAAUUAAGAAGGAAAGACAACCCAGAGUCAGAUUCUCCAGCCUCAGCUCUCUCUAGAACCGUCGUCUCUCUUCCUUCCCAUCCACUCUAGCACAUUCUCGCUCACAUGGCUCCUGAAAUCAUCUCCGCUUCGGGAAAACCGUCCGGAUUUUUGAAACCGGCUAGUCUUCCGGACAGAGCAUACGUGGCCUUCUUGGCCGGUAACGGGGACUACGUGAAAGGUGUUGUUGGGUUAGCCAAGGGGCUGCGGAAGGUGAAAUCCGAUUACCCGCUUGUGGUGGCGGUGUUACCGGACGUGCCGGUGGAGCACAGCCGAGAACUGGAAUCCCAGGGGUGCAUCGUCAGAGAGAUUGUGCCGGUUUACAAGAACCAGACCCAGUUCGCCAUGGCCUAUUACGUUAUCAAUUAUUCAAAGAUCCGUAUCUGGGAGGUACGUGAUAGUACUUUCUCAUUACCUCUAUCACUAUUUUUGUCAUUUUGCAUGAAUCUUUGCAUGAUUUGUAGAUUUACAUGCCAUUUUUGUAUGAAUCAGUUCGUGGAGUACAGUAAGAUGAUAUACUUGGAUGGGGAUAUUCAAGUCUACGAUAACAUUGACCACCUCUUUGAGCUACCAGACGGACAUUUCUAUGCAGUGAUGGACUGUUUCUGUGAGAAAACAUGGAGUCACACGCCACAGUACAAGAUUGGAGACUGCCAACAGUGUCCGGAAAAGGUUCAGUGGCCGGCGGAGCUGGGUCAGCCGCCUUCACUUUACUUCAACGCAGGCAUGUUUGUGUUUGAGCCCAGCCUCUCCACCUAUGAAGAUCUCUGGGAAACCCUCAGGAUCACCCCUGCAACCCCUUUUGCAGAGCAGGUAAACACAUAAGCUUUUGCUGAUGAUAUUCUUCCAACAUAAUCCGGUUGUGGUUCUGGGAUUUUGUUAUUUAGGAAAAUGUGUAUGUGUUUUUGGCAGGAUUUCUUGAAUAUGUACUUCAGGGAUGUAUAUAAGCCUAUUCCUCUGGUCUACAAUCUUGUCCUUGCCAUGCUGUGGCGGCAUCCUGAGAAUGUAGAGCUUGAUAAAGUGAAAGUUGUUCACUACUGUGCAGCGGUGAGUACCACAGAAGAUUGAUUUUGGGAGAUUAAUUCGUAAGUUAUAACCUGUGGUGGUUAUGUAUACUAAUACAAAUAUUAGUGAAUGGUAUACCAGGGGUCGAAGCCAUGGAGGUACACAGGGAAGGAGGACAACAUGCAGAGAGAGGACAUUAAGAUGCUGGUAAACAAAUGGUGGGAGAUAUACAAUGACAAGUCAUUGGAUUACAAGAAGACGAGGAUGAUGGCGAAUGAUUACAGCAGCGUUUUGCCGGGGGAGCAGGUGAAUUUGGAGCCUUUCAUUGCAGCUCUUUCCGAGGUGGGGCAUGUUGAAUUUGUGAGAGCCCCUUCAGCAGCCUAGAAGAGGCCAGUACUCUCGUGGAGAAGAGGAUCCAAGGGGCAUGCAAUCAGA
Molecule: long non-coding RNA, 6657 nt
Filed under: Vitis vinifera (wine grape)
Lineage: Eukaryota; Viridiplantae; Streptophyta; Magnoliopsida; Vitales; Vitaceae
Description: long non-coding RNA (VVIN_LNC002074)
Source: RNAcentral